UCGGGUUGUAAAGCACUUUCAGUCAUGAGGAAAGGUUUAGUCAGUUAAUACCUGACUAUCUGUGACGUUACUCAACAGAAGAAGCACCGGCUAACUCCGUGCCAGCAGCCGCGGUAAUACGGAGGGUGCGAGCGUUAAUCGGAAUUACUGGGCGUAAAGCGUACGCAGGCGGUUUGUUAAGCGUAGAUGUGAAAGCCCGGGCUCAAGCCUGGGAACUGCAWUUACGAARCUGGMAAACUAAGAAGUGUGAUAGAAGGGUAGGUUAGAAUUUCAAGGUUGUARCGGUUGAAAUKCGUAGAGAUCUGGAAGGAACUAWCCAGAAUGGCGGAAGGCAAGCCACYUGGGUCAACACUUGAACGCUCAAUUGUACGAAAGUCGUGGGUGAAGCGAAACAGGAAUUAGAUACCCUUGGUAAGUCCACGACGCCGUAAACCGAUGUUUAAUUAAGUAGAGUUGUGGAAUUCUAAGUUCUGAUUUACAAAUAACGCGAAUAAGUAGACCG
Molecule: ribosomal RNA, 502 nt
Filed under: uncultured Gammaproteobacteria bacterium
Lineage: Bacteria; Pseudomonadati; Pseudomonadota; Gammaproteobacteria
Description: bacterial SSU rRNA
Rfam family: Bacterial small subunit ribosomal RNA
Source: RNAcentral